UUAAUAGUCUAAUCCAUGUUUUGAAAAAAAUCAAAUCAAAUCAAAGUGGGUACACAUUUGGAAAUUUGCAUUUUUUGUAAUGGUCUGAAAUGUACCGCUACAUCCGAUUUUGUAUUUUAUGAGAAGCACAUAAGAACAAAUAUUUUUAAAAAGAAAAAAAAAAAAAGAAGGAAGAAAUUUCAUGAAUUAAUAUGUUGUCCACUCACAUCAUAGAGUCAUUCUAUUUGUAUUUGGUGACAACCAUGCAUCCAUAAUGUGAAACUUUUGAUUAUAA
This 274-nucleotide long non-coding RNA is filed under the name Capsella rubella. RNAcentral describes it as "long non-coding RNA (CRUB_LNC005211)". The record is from RNAcentral. Lineage: Eukaryota; Viridiplantae; Streptophyta; Magnoliopsida; Brassicales; Brassicaceae.